GACAGACCUGCGUGGCAUGAUCCCU
RNAcentral lists this unclassified non-coding RNA (25 nucleotides) under Mus musculus (house mouse). RNAcentral's name for it is "oocyte_clustered_small_RNA10131". The record is from RNAcentral. Lineage: Eukaryota; Metazoa; Chordata; Mammalia; Rodentia; Muridae.